This 1344-nucleotide ribosomal RNA is filed under the name uncultured bacterium. RNAcentral describes it as "bacterial SSU rRNA". It matches the Rfam family "Bacterial small subunit ribosomal RNA", at positions 28 to 1381 of the family's 1533-position model. The record is from RNAcentral.
GACGAACGCUGGCGGCGUGCUUAACACAUGCAAGUCGAACGAUGAAGCCCAGCUUGCUGGGUGGAUUAGUGGCGAACGGGUGAGUAACACGUGAGUAACCUGCCCUUGACUCUGGGAUAAGCGCUGGAAACGGCGUCUAAUACCGGAUACGACCUGCCCCGGCAUCGGGUGCGGGUGGAAAGUUUUUCGGUCAAGGAUGGACUCGCGGCCUAUCAGGUAGUUGGUGAGGUAAUGGCUCACCAAGCCGACGACGGGUAGCCGGCCUGAGAGGGUGACCGGCCACACUGGGACUGAGACACGGCCCAGACUCCUACGGGAGGCAGCAGUGGGGAAUAUUGCACAAUGGGCGAAAGCCUGAUGCAGCAACGCCGCGUGGGGGAUGACGGCCUUCGGGUUGUAAACCUCUUUUAGUAGGGAAGAAGGGCUUCGGCUUGACGGUACCUGCAGAAAAAGCACCGGCUAACUACGUGCCAGCAGCCGCGGUAAUACGUAGGGUGCAAGCGUUGUCCGGAAUUAUUGGGCGUAAAGAGCUCGUAGGCGGUUUGUCGCGUCUGCUGUGAAAACCCGAGGCUCAACCUCGGGCCUGCAGUGGGUACGGGCAGACUAGAGUGCGGUAGGGGAGAAUGGAAUUCCUGGUGUAGCGGUGGAAUGCGCAGAUAUCAGGAGGAACACCGAUGGCGAAGGCAGUUCUCUGGGCCGUUACUGACGCUGAGGAGCGAAAGCGUGGGGAGCGAACAGGAUUAGAUACCCUGGUAGUCCACGCCGUAAACGUUGGGAACUAGAUGUGGGGACCUUUCCACGGUCUCCGUGUCGCAGCUAACGCAUUAAGUUCCCCGCCUGGGGAGUACGGCCGCAAGGCUAAAACUCAAAGGAAUUGACGGGGGCCCGCACAAGCGGCGGAGCAUGCGGAUUAAUUCGAUGCAACGCGAAGAACCUUACCAAGGCUUGACAUAUACCGGAAACUUCCAGAAAUGGUUGCCCCGCAAGGUCGGUAUACAGGUGGUGCAUGGUUGUCGUCAGCUCGUGUCGUGAGAUGUUGGGUUAAGUCCCGCAACGAGCGCAACCCUCGUUCUAUGUUGCCAGCACGUCAUGGUGGGAACUCAUAGGAGACUGCCGGGGUCAACUCGGAGGAAGGUGGGGAUGACGUCAAAUCAUCAUGCCCCUUAUGUCUUGGGCUUCACGCAUGCUACAAUGGCCGGUACAAAGGGCUGCGAUACCGUAAGGUGGAGCGAAUCCCAAAAAGCCGGUCUCAGUUCGGAUUGAGGUCUGCAACUCGACCUCAUGAAGUCGGAGUCGCUAGUAAUCGCAGAUCAGCAACGCUGCGGUGAAUACGUUCCCGGGCCU